AGAGUUUGAUCAUGGCUCAGAAUCAACGCUGGCGGCGUGCCUAACACAUGCAAGUCGAACGAGAAAGGGGAGCAAUCCCUGAGUAAAGUGGCGCACGGGUGAGUAACACGUGACUAACCUACCCUGGAGUGGGGGAUAACUGAGGGAAACCUUAGCUAAUACCGCAUAAUACCCACGGGUCAAAGGAGCAAUUCGCUUCAGGAGGGGGUCGCGGCCGAUUAGUUAGUUGGCGGGGUAAUGGCCCACCAAGACGAUGAUCGGUAUCCGGCUGAGAGGGCGCACGGACACACUGGAACUGAAACACGGUCCAGACUCCUACGGGAGGCAGCAGUGGGGAAUUUUGCGCAAUGGGGGGAAACCCUGACGCAGCAACGCCCGCGUGGAGAUGAAGUACUUCGGUACGUAAACUCCUUUUCGAUCGGGACGAUAAUGACGGUACCGAGAGAAGAAGCCCCGGCUAACUUCGUGCCAGCAGCCGCGGUAAUACGAGGGGGGCGAGCGUUGUUCGGAAUUAUUGGGCGUAAAGGGUGCGUAGGCGGUUUGGUAAGUCUGAUGUGAAAUCUAUGGGCUCAACUCAUAGUCUGCAUCGGAAACUGCCGGGCUUGAGUGUGGGAGAGGUGAGUGGAAUUUCCGGUGUAGCGGUGAAAUGCGUAGAUAUCGGAAGGAACCCUGUGGCGAAAGCGGCUCACUGGACCACAACUGACGCUGAUGCACGAAAGCUAGGGGAGCAAACAGGAUUAGAUACCCUAGUAGUCC
Molecule: ribosomal RNA, 756 nt
Filed under: uncultured bacterium
Lineage: Bacteria
Description: bacterial SSU rRNA
Rfam family: Bacterial small subunit ribosomal RNA
Source: RNAcentral